This 965-nucleotide ribosomal RNA is filed under the name uncultured bacterium. Its description in RNAcentral is "bacterial SSU rRNA". It matches the Rfam family "Bacterial small subunit ribosomal RNA", at positions 534 to 1502 of the family's 1533-position model. The record is from RNAcentral.
AACACCGUUGCCGGAAUUUUGGGCGUAAAGGGUGCGUAGGCGGCCGAUCAAGUCAGGUGUGAAAGACCCGUGCUUAACAUGGGGGUUGCACUUGAAACUGGUUGGCUUGAGUAUGGGAGAGGCAAGCGGAAUUCCCGGUGUAGCGGUGAAAUGCGUAGAGAUCGGGAGGAACACCAGUGGCGAAGGCGGCUUGCUGGACCAAAACUGACGCUGAGGCACGAAAGCGUGGGUAGCAAACAGGAUUAGAUACCCUGGUAGUCCACGCCGUAAACGAUGGAUACUAGGUGUAGGGGGUUUAACACCUUCUGUGCCGGAGCAAACGCAAUAAGUAUCCCGCCUGGGGAGUACGAUCGCAAGAUUGAAACUCAAAGGAAUUGACGGGGGCCCGCACAAGCAGCGGAGCAUGUGGUUUAAUUCGAAGCAACGCGAAGAACCUUACCAAGGCUUGACAUCCCCUGACAGACAUAGAAAUAUGUUAUCUCUUCGGAGCAGGGAGACAGGUGGUGCAUGGUUGUCGUCAGCUCGUGUCGUGAGAUGUUGGGUUAAGUCCCGCAACGAGCGCAACCCCUACAUUUAGUUACCAGCGGGUAAAGCCGGGGACUCUAGAUGGACUGCCGGGGACAACUCGGAGGAAGGUGGGGACGACGUCAAAUCAUCAUGCCCCUUAUGUCUUGGGCUACACACGUGCUACAAUGGCCGUUACAAAGGGAAGCGAGUGCGUAAGCAGGAGCGGAACCCAUAAAAGCGGUCCCAGUUCGGAUUGUGGGCUGCAACCCGCCCACAUGAAGUCGGAGUUGCUAGUAAUCGCGAAUCAGCAUGUCGCGGUGAAUGCGUUCCCGGGCCUUGUACACACCGCCCGUCACACCACGGAAGUUGGGAGCACCCGAAGCCGGUGGCUUAACCGCAAGGAGAGAGCCGUCGAAGGUGAGAUCAAUGACUGGGGUGAAGUCGUAACAAGGUAGCCG